GAUGAACGCUGGCGGCGUGCCUAAUACAUGCAAGUCGAGCGAACAGACGAGGAGCUUGCUCCUCUGACGUUAGCGGCGGACGGGUGAGUAACACGUGGAUAACCUACCUAUAAGACUGGGAUAACUUCGGGAAACCGGAGCUACUACCGGAUAAUAUAUUGAACCGCAUGGUUCAAUAGUGAAAGACGGUUUUGCUGUCACUUAUAGAUGGAUCCGCGCCGCAUUAGCUAGUUGGUAAGGUAACGGCUUACCAAGGCUACGAUGCGUAGCCGACCUGAGAGGGUGAUCGGCCACACGGGAACUGAGACACGGUCCAGACUCCGACGGGAGGCAGCAGUAGGGAAUCUUCCGGAAGGGGCGAAAGCCUGACGGAGCAACGCCGCGUGAGUGAUGAAGGUCUUCGGAUCGUAAAACGCUGUUAUUAGGGAAGAACAAAUGUGUAAGUAACUAGGCACGUCUUGACGGUACCUAAUCAGAAAGCCACGGCUAACUACGUG
Molecule: ribosomal RNA, 497 nt
Filed under: uncultured bacterium
Lineage: Bacteria
Description: partial 16S ribosomal RNA
Rfam family: Bacterial small subunit ribosomal RNA
Source: RNAcentral